UACGUAGGGGGCAAGCGUUGUCCGGAAUCAUUGGGCGUAAAGCGCGUGUAGGCGGUUCGAUUAGUCUGCUGUGAAAGUCAGGGGCUCAACCCUUGAAUGCCGGUGGAUACUGUCGGGCUAGAGUGCGGAAGAGGCGAGUGGAAUUCCUGGUGUAGCGGUGAAAUGCGCAGAUAUCAGGAGGAACACCAAUUGCGAAGGCAGCUCGCUGGGACGUUACUGACGCUGAGACGCGAAAGCGUGGGGAGCAAACAGG
RNAcentral lists this ribosomal RNA (253 nucleotides) under uncultured bacterium. Its description in RNAcentral is "partial 16S ribosomal RNA". It matches the Rfam family "Bacterial small subunit ribosomal RNA", at positions 524 to 776 of the family's 1533-position model. The record is from RNAcentral.